AUUCAGGCUAUGAUGGAGAGUAGUAGGGAUUUUUUGCCAUUAAAGAGAGCCGGUGUGCUGGAAAUCCGGUAUGGCUGACUUGCCGAACAGGCUUCUGAGCUCCGGUCGAAAAAAGAAGGUGAAAUCUUUCGAGUAGGCUUGGCGGUGUUCUCCCGAUAUAGAGAAGCUGUGCAAAAUGCAUAGACUCAAGGGGGCUUUUAUCAGCCAAAUUAGGUGGUACCGCGGAAGAUUAACCUUUCGUCCUAAAU
RNAcentral lists this non-coding RNA (248 nucleotides) under Oxobacter pfennigii. Its description in RNAcentral is "T-box sequence". It matches the Rfam family "T-box leader". From Rfam's summary of the family: Uncharged tRNA acts as the effector for transcription antitermination of genes in the T-box leader family. T-boxes are found upstream of many aminoacyl-tRNA synthetase genes and some amino acid biosynthetic genes usually in Gram-positive bacteria. Lineage: Bacteria; Bacillati; Bacillota; Clostridia; Eubacteriales; Clostridiaceae. The record is from RNAcentral.